GACGAACGCUGGCGGCGUGCUUAACACAUGCAAGUCGAGCGAUGAAGCUCCUUCGGGAGUGGAUUAGCGGCGGACGGGUGAGUAACACGUGGGUAACCUGCCUCAUAGAGGGGAAUAGCCUUUCGAAAGGAAGAUUAAUACCGCAUAAGAUUGUAGCCUCGCAUGAAGCAGCAAUUAAAGGAGUAAUCCGCUAUGAGAUGGACCCGCGUCGCAUUAGCUAGUUGGUGAGGUAACGGCUCACCAAGGCGACGAUGCGUAGCCGACCUGGGAGGGUGAUCGGCCACAUUGGGACUGGUACACGGCCCAGACUCCUACGGGAGGCAGCAGUGGGGAAUAUUGCACAAUGGGGGAAACCCUGAUGCAGCAACGCCGCGUGAGUGAUGACGGUCUUCGGAUUGUAAAGCUCUGUCUUCAGGGACGAUAAUGACGGUACCUGAGGAGGAAGCCACGGCUAACUACGUGCCAGCCGCCGCCGUAA
RNAcentral lists this ribosomal RNA (478 nucleotides) under uncultured bacterium. Its description in RNAcentral is "partial 16S ribosomal RNA". It matches the Rfam family "Bacterial small subunit ribosomal RNA", at positions 28 to 523 of the family's 1533-position model. The record is from RNAcentral.